GGUUUAGGGAUUUUAGAUUUGGAUAUCAUGAAUAUCGCGUUGUUGUCUAAAUGGUUGUGGAAACUUUUUAAUGAGGAAAUCUUAUGGCAAAAAUUGCUAUGGAAUAAGUACAUAGGGAAUUCCACCUUUGGACAGGUUGGUAAAAAGCAAGGUGAUUCACAUUUUUGGAAGGGGCUGCUGAAAUGCAAAACCUUGUUCCUAAAUUGUUGCAGAUUUAAAGUAGGGGAUGGGAGGAAAACUAGAUUUUGUGAAGACAUAUGGAUUGGGAAACAUAAUUUAUCUGAUACUUUCCCUAGUCUAUAUAAUGUCUCUCUCAAUCAACACAUUACUGUAUAUGAAGUUAUUUCUUCCAACUUGGCUACUCUUCAAUUCAGAAGGGUGCUGGUGGGGGAAAUAGCAACCCAAUGGCAAGAUCUGGUAGAAAUGUGUAGGCUAGUCAAGUUAAACGAGGAGAAGGAUAAGUUACACUGGAUACCUGAUAAAUCUGGGAUAUUUAGUGUGAAAUCCUUCUACUCUGUUGUACAAGUAGGGGAAAAAUAGCCCAACAGAUUCCUAUGGAAAGUUAAAAUCCCUCCGAAAAUCAAAACAUUUAUCUGGUUGGUCUUGAAAGAAAGUAUACUAACUAGAGAUGUUUUGUUACAUAGAGGAGGAAAAUGUGAAGAGAAAUGUCUUUUUGCAAUGAAAAAGAAUCAAUCAAUCAUCUAUUCUUUCGAUGCCCGCUUGCCAGAUAUAUGUGGAAUGUGGUCAGUUAUUGCACUGGGCUCCGAUGUGAUUUCAGUGAUAUGGACACAUGUAUACAUAGUUGGCUAG
This 810-nucleotide ribosomal RNA is filed under the name Triticum aestivum (bread wheat). Its description in RNAcentral is "partial small subunit ribosomal RNA". The record is from RNAcentral. Lineage: Eukaryota; Viridiplantae; Streptophyta; Magnoliopsida; Poales; Poaceae.